UACUCCUACGGGAGGCAGCAGUAAGGAAUAUUGCGCAAUGGGCGACAGCCUGACGCAGCGACGCCGCGUGGGGGAUGAAGGUCUUCGGAUUGUAAACCCCUUUCGGCAGGGAAGAUGGAACGGGAAACCGUUCGGACGGUACCUGCAGAAGCAGCCACGGCUAACUUCGUG
Molecule: ribosomal RNA, 171 nt
Filed under: uncultured Nitrospira sp.
Lineage: Bacteria; Pseudomonadati; Nitrospirota; Nitrospiria; Nitrospirales; Nitrospiraceae
Description: partial 16S ribosomal RNA
Rfam family: Bacterial small subunit ribosomal RNA
Source: RNAcentral